GCUGGGCAUAGUAGCCUACGCCUGUAAUCCCAGCGGCUCAGGAGGCUGAGGCAGGAGGAUCAUGAGCUCAAAGCCAGCCUCAG
This 83-nucleotide small RNA is filed under the name Marmota monax (woodchuck). Lineage: Eukaryota; Metazoa; Chordata; Mammalia; Rodentia; Sciuridae. The record is from RNAcentral.